AUUGAACGCUGGCGGCAGGCCUAACACAUGCAAGUCGAAUGGUAACAGGAAACAGCUUGCUGUUUCGCUGACGAGUGGCGGACGGGUGAGUAAUGUCUGGGAAACUGCCUGAUGGAGGGGGAUAACUACUGGAAACGGUAGCUAAUACCGCAUAACGUCGCAAGACCAAAGAGGGGGACCUUCGGGCCUCUUGCCAUCAGAUGUGCCCAGAUGGGAUUAGCUAGUAGGCGGGGUAACGGCUCACCUAGGCGACGAUCCCUAGCUGGUCUGGGAGGAUGACCAGCCACACUGGAACUGAGACACGGUCCAGACUCCUACGGGAGGCAGCAGUGGGGAAUAUUGCACAAUGGGCGCAAGCCUGAUGCAGCCAUGCCGCGUGUAUGAAGAAGGCCUUCGGGUUGGAAGGUACUUUCAGCGGGGAGGAAGGGAGUAAAGUUAAUACCUUUGCUCAUUGACGUUACCCGCAGAAGAAGCACCGGCUAACUCCG
This 488-nucleotide ribosomal RNA is filed under the name uncultured bacterium. RNAcentral describes it as "partial 16S ribosomal RNA". It matches the Rfam family "Bacterial small subunit ribosomal RNA", at positions 30 to 505 of the family's 1533-position model. The record is from RNAcentral.